Molecule: long non-coding RNA, 1680 nt
Organism: Oreochromis aureus
Lineage: Eukaryota; Metazoa; Chordata; Actinopteri; Cichliformes; Cichlidae
Source: Ensembl
AAUUUGGGCAAUAACAGUUGUAUUGAUGUAUAGCAACUUGAAAUGCUCCCAAAAAUGGCUCCACAGCAUGUAAAAAUAUAAAGAUAAGGUCUGGCGGACUUGGUUCUAUGGUAGGUCUUAAAGGGUUAAAACAAAGGGAAAAUGAUGAAAAAUUAAUUUAGGAAAGAAAUCAAAACAUGAUUCUAUAAAUCUUCGCUCUUCUGUGGUGCGUCAAGUUGACAUCUACCCAUCAAAAACCUGUUGAGAGCAGUGCUCAGUCCACUCAUGAGGCCAUCAUUCAGGAAUGAGCUCACUGACUUAAGCCCCUUUUCUAUUUAGUACCUACUUGGAGUUAGUACCUACUACUGGCCACGACUCAACUUGCCACGAUUAGUUUUCCAUUAUAACCCAGUGUGCAUGCUUGUUGUCAUAACAACGUGUCUGUGCAUCUCACAACGUAAUUAUUAUGCAAUGCAAAUGCUAUAAGAAAGCGAACAUAUACCUGCUGCUUUUUGUCAGACUUGGGGAACACGUGUUGUUUUUUGUAGCCAUUUUCCUCAUUGCCUCAUUUCAAAAAUGGUAGUUUUAAUUUAUGUGAAUGAGACGCUCUCAUGACUCAUCGAGUGACACUACUGACCAGCCAACUGUUGUCAUGCAGUAGGACAACGUCACAUUUUAGUACCUGCUCAGAUCGCUUGGAACCCUGGCCGAGAAGGUACUAAAACAGUACCUGGUACCACGCAUUUUGGCCAAAUGGAAAACCCUGAAAACCGUGCCGUCGUUCCAGGUAGGUGGAAAAGGGCCAUUACAUCGUAAUGAUGACAUCAUCAGCAUCAUCACAAUUUAGAGCAUGCAGAAAAAGUCAGAGAGGCCACUAAACAGAAGACCUCAUCAUACUUGCUUUGGAGGAUCUUUAUGAACUUUUUCAGCUGUUGUGGCAGCAUCCUUCAUCUGAUUGGCCGGCUCAGUCUGACGUAGCACGAGGGAAAAACCUGGAGCGUCACCAAGUGAAAGAGAAACUACAGCAUGCACUGCCAGAAGCACGGUGGUGAUUUCCAAACCAUUUACAGGAAAGCCUCGGCCUUCAGCAACAGCAGCUGUGUGAGUUUAUCACAUUCAUGUCACAUGUCUGUUUGGACCAUGGAACAGAUCCCGAUUCCUAGUGAUCACCGAGACAACCAGAGAAGUGAAGAGUCCCUUUAAACCUGGAGGAGAGGAGCACCAGGGACAGAGCCAAGGUCACCACAGAGAACGGGAUGCUUUCAUAUUCCCGUCCUGGGAGGUUGUACGGGAUGACGAUGCGGUUCCUUCCUGGUGGGCCGUGUUUAGCUGAGAGAGACUCAAAGUGUUCCCACACUCCAUCAUCAUCUCGAAGAGGGCUAACCGUGAUGUUUGGGACCAUCUGUGCUCCAGCUUUCUUCAUAAAAAACUCUGUGCUGAGGCCUCAGUUUUCCUGUAGCGACACCGUACACUAAACCAGAAGUGAUGCAGUUCCAGGGAGAAUACAGGAGCACGUCAGUGAUGGUGGGCAGAGGCAGACUUACUCCAGUUCCUCGUCUCUCUCCAUCUCCUCAGAAGUUUGACUGUCUUUAGCGUUGUCCUUCAGGUGCUUCCUGUGGUUAAAAAUUGACAACAUGUCUUUCAGAUCUCAGCACAUCUGUGAGCACAGCAGACACAGAGGUCAUGACCUCCCACCACCAC